UGAGGAAUAUUGGUCAAUGGGCGAGAGCCUGAACCAGCCAAGUCGCGUGAAGGAUGAAGGAUCUAUGGUUUGUAAACUUCUUUUAUAUGGGAAUAAAGUGAGGAACGUGUUCCUUUUGUAUGUACCAUAUGAAUAAGCAUCGGCUAACUCCGUGCCAGCAGCCCGGUAAUCUCACGCUCAUACAUGAUUACCGCGGCUGCUGGCACGUAGUUAGCCGGGGCUUCUUAG
RNAcentral lists this ribosomal RNA (228 nucleotides) under uncultured bacterium. Its description in RNAcentral is "partial 16S ribosomal RNA". The stretch from base 1 to 204 matches the Rfam family "Bacterial small subunit ribosomal RNA", at positions 355 to 539 of the family's 1533-position model. The record is from RNAcentral.